This 313-nucleotide ribosomal RNA is filed under the name uncultured soil bacterium. Its description in RNAcentral is "bacterial SSU rRNA". It matches the Rfam family "Bacterial small subunit ribosomal RNA", at positions 26 to 338 of the family's 1533-position model. The record is from RNAcentral.
AGAUUGAACGCUGGCGGCAGGCCUAACACAUGCAAGUCGAGCGGCAGCACGGGUACUUGUACCUGGUGGCGAGCGGCGGACGGGUGAGUAAUGCCUAGGAAUCUGCCUGGUAGUGGGGGAUAACGCUCGGAAACGGACGCUAAUACCGCAUACGUCCUACGGGAGAAAGCAGGGGACCUUCGGGCCUUGCGCUAUCAGAUGAGCCUAGGUCGGAUUAGCUAGUUGGUGAGGUAAUGGCUCACCAAGGCGACGAUCCGUAACUGGUCUGAGAGGAUGAUCAGUCACACUGGAACUGAAGACACGGUCCAGACCU